UACCUUAUCCAUAUCUUAUCUUACCUUAUCCAUAUCUACAAUCUCUCUUCAGUGACAAUAAAUACAGACUCUGCUUGAAAGCCAGAAUUGAGAUAUUCCUGAACAUUGAAGUCUACCAUGAAUCGUUGGGCAUUUGCUCUCCUUCUCCUUGCUUUAGUAGCAGGAGUUGUUGGUAAAACAGAUGGAACAGAAGACGAACUUACAAGCUGUGGAAAUGGAGGAAUAGGGAAAUGCUUUCCAGGCAAUCUGUGCUCUCCACUUUGGGUUCCAAUUGAUGGAAUAUGUCGUCCUAACGAAAUAUGCUGUGUCAUACCUAGAAGACGUGAUUCAACAAUGUGAGAAUAUGCUGACUGAAAAAAAAUUGCUGAAACCGUUUGGCUACAAAUUACAUGAUAUCUACAGUUACUGAGGUUUCUGCUGGGAUACACACUUAGUUUUCUUUCUUGCUUAAGAAAAGCUGCUGAGAUGUAUACUUAGUUUUUCCUCUUAUUUUAUAAAAGUUCCCUCACUGAAGGCAAAAAUGCAUAAUAUAAAGCUAAAAUCAAUUCCAAGUAAUCUGUCUUCAUGAGUUAGAUCAUCCGGAUACUGUUAACUAGUUUCAGCUAAGAUCAUUCAAUGUAAAUGAGAAACAUUCUUGCAUCCAAAUGUAGAAAUGUUUUUUAACUCAUGCUUAUAGAACCCUUGCCAGUAAAAGUCUUCAUUUAGCAUAUCUUUGCUGUGUCAUUGCUUUAAGUAUAAAUAGAUAUUUUUAUAAAGGUGAUGAUUAAAGAAAUGCUGUAUGAUCCAGCUAGCAAAGUUUUGAGCAAAACCCUUCUUAAGAGAUAUAUGCACCUUGUAUUAUUACCUCCAAUAUCAUUAUUUUUCGCCAGCAUUACUAAGAACUGUUGUUUUCCCAGCACUGUUGUUUUCUUUUCACUGUAUACUAAACUACUCUCAAUUCUA
Protopterus annectens (West African lungfish) is the source of this 942-nucleotide long non-coding RNA. RefSeq lists it as uncharacterized. The record is from RefSeq and is a predicted model, not a curated record. Lineage: Eukaryota; Metazoa; Chordata; Ceratodontiformes; Protopteridae. The transcript is spliced from 3 exons.